This 1438-nucleotide ribosomal RNA is filed under the name metagenome. RNAcentral describes it as "bacterial SSU rRNA". It matches the Rfam family "Archaeal small subunit ribosomal RNA". The record is from RNAcentral.
UCCCGUUGAUCCUGCGGGAGGUCGCUGCUAUUAGGAUUCGACUAAGCCAUGCAAGUCAAGGGGUUCCUUCGGGAACACCGGCAGAAUGCUCAGUAACACGUCGAUAAUCUACCCUUAGGUCAGGGAUAACUUCGGAAAACUGAAGCUAAUACCUGAUACGAGAAUUUUCCUGGAAUGGUUUUUCUUUGAAAGAUUACGCCUAAGGACGAGUCGGCGGCCGAUUAGGCUGUUGGUGAGGUAACGGCUCACCAAACCUUUGAUCGGUAGGGGCCUUGAGAGAGGUAGCCUCGAGAAGGGUACUGAGAAACUGACCCUAGCCCUACGGGGUGCAGCAGGCGCGAAACCUUUACAAUACACGAAAGUGUGAUAAGGGAAUCCUAAGUGCUUAUGUUUUGCAUAAGCUUUUAUUAAGAGUAAAAAUCUUGAUGAAUAAGUGGUGGGUAAGACUGGUGCCAGCAGCCGCGGUAACACCAGCGCCACGAGUGGCGGCCAUUUUUAUUGGGCCUAAAGCGUCCGUAGCCUGUUUAGUAAAUCUUCUGUGAAAUCAUUAGGCUUAACUUAACGAUGUGCAGGGGACACUGCUAAACUAGGAACCGGGAGGAGUCAGAGGAAUUUUGGGGGGCACGGUAAAAUGUGAUCAUCCCCAGAGGACCACCUGUGGCGAAGGCGUCUGACUAGAACGGGUUCGACGGUGAGGGACGAAAGCUAGGGGAGCAAACCGGAUUAGAUACCCGAGUAGUCCUAGCUGUAAACGCUGCGAGUUAGGUGUUACAUAUUCUCCGAGAAUAUGUAGUGUCGAAGUGAAGACGUUAAACUCGCCGCCUGGGAAGUAUAGUCGCAAGACCGAAACUUAAAGGAAUUGGCGGGGGAGCGCUACAAGGGGUGCGGCGUGCGGUUUAAUCUAACUCCACACAGAAAAUCUCACCAGAGGCGACGGCAGAAUGAAAGUCAGUCUGAAGGGCUUACUAGACAAGCCGAGAGGUGGUGCAUGGCCGCCGUCAGCUCGUGCUGUAAAGUGUCCAUUUAAGUAUGGUAACGAGCGAGACCUGUACCCACAAUUGCUAGCAACUCUAUCAGAGGAUUGAGCACAUUGUGGGGACUGCCUUGGAAACAAGGAGGAAGGUGCAGGCUACGGUAGGUCUGUAUGCCCCGAAUCCUCUGGGCAACACGCGCGCAACAAUGGUAGGGACAAUGGGAUACAACUCCGAAAGGAGAAGUUAAACCUCUAAACCCUAUCUUAGUCCAGAUUGAGGACUGUAAUUCGUCCUCAUGACGAUGGAAUCCCUAGUAAUCGGAUGUCAACAGCAUCCGGUGAAUAUGUCCCCGCUCCUUGCACACACCGCCCGUCAAACCACUCGAGCAGGGUUUAGGUAAGCAUUAGUUUUUUUGAUUAGUGCAAAUCUAAGUUCAGUGAGAUGGGUUAAGUCGUCACAAGGUA